CCUGCUGAACAUGGUAGGGUAUAUAAUUCCUACUCGACUGCUUAGUUUAGAGGGUGACAAGACCCAGACUUCUGUUGUCUUUGAAUUUAUGGAAGGACCCCCCCCAGCCAACUUUUCACUCCAUAUUUUAGCCCCAUGUGGGAGGGAACUGGUGUUUGGUUGAGAAAGGUAUGCUGUGUGAGCUCAUGUGACUUGGGAAAGAGCCCCACGCCAAAUGUCUGGGAGGCUAGAGGAAAAGAGGACCCCCAGAAAAGGGGUAGCCAUUCUAAGGACCCCGGUUCCAAGAGAAGAACACAGAGCACAGUCUGAGCUUUAGGCCAAUAGGAGUCCAGCAAAGUGGACUUGCCCAGGCUGUCUCCGCCUUCCCUCUUAAUGCCAAAUUUAGCUUGCUGUACCAGAAUUAGAGUCCCAACCAGCUCAUUAAAGGGCCCAUGACCCUCUUGGCUUGUCCCAUCAUGCCCAUCCCUGCCCUAAAAGCUUCCAGUACCCAUCCCCCAGAACCCAGCUUCCAGCCCUGGGUCCCUCAGUGCUUAUCAUUAGCCCCCCAAAACCCUCUAGGUCUUACUUCACCCACUCCAAACCCUUCUUUUGAGAACCCCCCUACUCUUCUACCUCAUAACCUCUAGAUUCCAACUCUAAUUCUGUCCCUCCUCCAAAGAAGAUCCCCAACUUGCCUGCAAGGAGAGGAAUCCAAGUUGCGGCUGCUACCAUAGUUGCCCCAGCCUAGCCGGACCUUCCUGCUUCGGUCUCCUUAGUGACGGGAUUACUACAGACGGUGAAUCGCAACACCCCACACGUACUUCACAGGUCACUUGCUAAACAGAGAGUUUUCACUGCUGCUACUACACAGCCAGCCAGCAAGGCCUCUGGAAGCUGCCUGUCACUGCCCAGGAGAAUGCUGCUACUCCCAGCUUGCAAGAGAGGAAGAGGAAGGGACAGACAGACAAGCGGGCAGGCACACAGACAGACAGACAGACUGACUGACUGACUGGCUGGCUGACAGAGGGAUGGCCCAGAGGCUAAGAGCAGAGGAUCUGGGGUUGGGGAUUUAGCUCAGUGGUAGAGCGCUUGCUUGGGUUCGGUUCCCAGCUCCGGAAAAAAAAAAAAAAAAAAAAGCAGAGGAUCUAGGUUUGGUUGCCAGCACCCUUAUGGUGGCAACCAAUCAUCUGCAGCUCCAGUCCCAAGGGAUCUGAUGUUCUCUCCUGGCCUCUGAGGGCACCCACAGAUAAAAAUCAAGAUAAAAGAUGUACAUGUACAAUUGUUAAUGUUACAUUAAAAAUGUUACAUUUUGUUGCUGCUGCUGUUGUUGUUUUGAGACAAGAUCUCUUUGCAUAGCCCUGGAUGUCCCAGAACUCGCUACCUAGAGCAGGCUAGCCUCAAACUUAACUCUCUACUUCCUGAGUGCUGGGACUAAAGGCAUGAUGGUUCACUAUGCCCAGCUCACAAGAUACUUAUGAAUGGAGCACUAUACUAUAUUCUAAAAGGACUAAGUGGAGAGACGUAGACACAGGAUCAGUUAAGCUUGAGAAAUCUCCCUGUCAUUCUCACUGACAAUUCUCUCCACGUUUUUAUCAAUGGAUUCCAUACGUACCCAGUAAAGAUCUCAACGGAAGCUUCUGUGUGAGACUGAUGCUAACAGAACAGCACAGGGGCCAAGACAGCGGUAGACUGUUCUGAAGAAGAAAAUGGGCCUGCCCUGAAGAGAUACCAAGACUUUCUUUGAAAGUGAUAGUAAUUAAAACAAUGUGGUCUCGGUGCCGGGCCGGACAAAGAGAUCAAUAGAACAGAGUGGCCAGAAAUGGAGCCAAGUGUAUGUGGGGAUUUGAUUUAUGAUGGGGGAGAGGGGGUGGCACAGCACUUAGCAAGGGAGAACAGUCUAUUCAAUAAAAAGUGUUGGGACAAUCGACUUUUCACAUGCAAACCUCUAUGCACCAUCCAUAAAUAUUAAUUCCAGAUGGAGGAGAGAUCUGGAAGUGAAAAACAGAACCUUAACAUAAUUAGGAGGAAAUGCAGUCAUGCUGAGAGUAGCAAA
Long non-coding RNA from Rattus norvegicus (Norway rat), 2032 nucleotides. RefSeq lists it as uncharacterized. Lineage: Eukaryota; Metazoa; Chordata; Mammalia; Rodentia; Muridae. The record is from RefSeq and is a predicted model, not a curated record.